GACGAACGCUGGCGGCGUGCCUAAUACAUGCAAGUUGAGCGAUGAAGAUUGGUGCUUGCACCAAUUUGAAGAGCAGCGAACGGGUGAGUAACGCGUGGGGAAUCUGCCUUUGAGCGGGGGACAACAUUUGGAAACGAAUGCUAAUACCGCAUAACAACUUUAAACAUAAGUUUUAAGUUUGAAGGAUGCAAUUGCAUCACUCAAAGAUGAUCCCGCGUUGUAUUAGCUAGUUGGUGAGGUAAAGGCUCACCAAGGCGAUGAUACAUAGCCGACCUGAGAGGGUGAUCGGCCACAUUGGGACUGAGACACGGCCCAAACUCCUACGGGAGGCAGCAGUAGGGAAUCUUCGGCAAUGGACGAAAGUCUGACCGAGCAACGCCGCGUGAGUGAAGAAGGUUUUCGGAUCGUAAAACUCUGUUGGUAGAGAAGAACGUUGGUGAGAGUGGAAAGCUCAUCAAGUGACGGUAACUACCCAGAAAGGGACGGCUAACUACGUG
Molecule: ribosomal RNA, 497 nt
Filed under: uncultured bacterium
Lineage: Bacteria
Description: partial 16S ribosomal RNA
Rfam family: Bacterial small subunit ribosomal RNA
Source: RNAcentral